RNAcentral lists this ribosomal RNA (634 nucleotides) under uncultured bacterium. RNAcentral describes it as "bacterial SSU rRNA". It matches the Rfam family "Bacterial small subunit ribosomal RNA", at positions 224 to 875 of the family's 1533-position model. The record is from RNAcentral.
GAUGGGCCCGCGGCCUAUCAGCUUGUUGGUGAGGUUAUGGCUUACCAAGGCGACGACGGGUAGCCGGCCUGAGAGGGUGUCCGGCCACACUGGGACUGAGAUACGGCCCAGACUCCUACGGGAGGCAGCAGUGGGGAAUAUUGGACAAUGGGCGCAAGCCUGAUCCAGCCAUGCCGCGUGAGUGAUGAAGGCCCUAGGGUUGUAAAGCUCUUUCGGCGGGGACGAUAAUGACGGUACCCGCAGAAGAAGCCCCGGCUAACUUCGUGCCAGCAGCCGCGGUAAUACGAAGGGGGCUAGCGUUGCUCGGAAUCACUGGGCGUAAAGGGCGCGUAGGCGGAUCUUUAAGUCGGGGGUGAAAGCCCAGGGCUCAACCCUGGAAUUGCCUUCGAUACUGGAGAUCUUGAGACCGGAAGAGGUAAGUGGAACUGCGAGUGUAGAGGUGAAAUUCGUAGAUAUUCGCAAGAACACCAGUGGCGAAGGCGGCUUACUGGUCCGGUUCUGACGCUGAGGCGCGAAAGCGUGGGGAGCAAACAGGAUUAGAUACCCUGGUAGUCCACGCCGUAAACGAUGGAUGCUAGCUGUUGGCCGGCUUGCCCGGUCAGUAGCGCAGCUAACGCUUUAAGCAUCCCGCCUG